ACAGCAUUCAGACCGUCGGUCUACCGGGUAAAAUUACACGCUGGUGGAAGAUCUUCACCUUGUUAU
This 66-nucleotide microRNA precursor is filed under the name Bombyx mori (domestic silkworm). RNAcentral describes it as "mir-2774 microRNA precursor family". It matches the Rfam family "mir-2774 microRNA precursor family". Lineage: Eukaryota; Metazoa; Arthropoda; Insecta; Lepidoptera; Bombycidae. The record is from Rfam by way of RNAcentral.